RNAcentral lists this long non-coding RNA (387 nucleotides) under Hordeum vulgare. RNAcentral describes it as "long non-coding RNA (HVUL_LNC018081)". The record is from RNAcentral. Lineage: Eukaryota; Viridiplantae; Streptophyta; Magnoliopsida; Poales; Poaceae.
GUACGCAGCCACCGCCGUCACCGCGGAGGAUCCGGGCGAGGACGAGACCGCUUCUUCAGCCAUGUCUCCUAGAGGCACCGGCACCCCCGCAUCUCAUCUGAUCCGGCAGGCAAGAGAUGCGAUCUUUCGCGAGAAACCGGCAGCAAUCCCGUCCGAAAAGGGACGCAAAAGCGGAGGCCGGACGGCACCUAAAAGCGGCGGGCUGGUGCAGCCCGGGGGGAAGCGUCCAAGGCGCUAGGGACCAAGAGAACCCCCGGAGGCUUCCUCCGGUCGGAUGGCGGGCAGGUGGACACGGCGGGGAUGCGGGGAGGAGACGGAGGAUUGCGGUGGGAAUCGCUGGGGAGCGGAGGAGGGGAGGGGAGGGGAGUGGUGGGAGCGCACGAGCNG